GGAGGAGUGGCCGAGUGGCUUAAGGCGACGGUCUUGAAAAUCGUCAGGCGGGAAACUGCCUCGGGGGUUCGAAUCCCUCCUCCUCCG
Molecule: transfer RNA, 87 nt
Filed under: Phycisphaerae bacterium
Lineage: Bacteria; Pseudomonadati; Planctomycetota; Phycisphaerae
Description: tRNA-Ser
Rfam family: tRNA
About the family: Transfer RNA (tRNA) molecules are approximately 80 nucleotides in length.
Source: RNAcentral